CCUACGGGGGGCAGCAGUGAGGAAUAUUGGUCAAUGGACGCAAGUCUGAACCAGCCAUGCCGCGUGCAGGAAGACGGCCCUAUGAGUUGUAAACUGCUUUUGUACGAGGGUAAACGCAGAUACGCGUAUCUGUCUGAAAGUAUCGUACGAAUAAGGAUCGGCUAACUCCGUGCCAGCAGCCGCGGUAAUACGGAGGAUUCAAGCGUUAUCCGGAUUUAUUGGGUUUAAAGGGUGCGUAGGCGGUCGGAUAAGUUAGAGGUGAAAUCCCGAGGCUCAACUUCGGAAUUGCCUAUGAUACUGUUAGGCUAGAGAGUAGUUGAGGUAGGCGGAAUGUAUGGUGUAGCGGUGAAAUGCUUAGAGAUCAUACAGAACACCGAUUGCGAAGGCAGCUUACCAAGCUACUUCUGACGUUGAGGCACGAAAGCGUGGGGAGCAAACAGGAUUAGAUACCCUUGUAGUC
RNAcentral lists this ribosomal RNA (460 nucleotides) under uncultured bacterium. RNAcentral describes it as "partial 16S ribosomal RNA". It matches the Rfam family "Bacterial small subunit ribosomal RNA", at positions 338 to 795 of the family's 1533-position model. The record is from RNAcentral.